ACUCAAAGGAAUUGACGGGGGCCCGCACAAGCGGUGGAUCAUGUGGUUUAAUUCGAAGCAACGCGCAGAACCUUACCUAGGUUUGACAUCUCUGGACAAACGUAGAAAUACGUCUUUUGUAGCAAUACAACCGGAUGACAGGUGCUGCAUGGCUGUCGUCAGCUCGUGUGGUGACAUGUUGGGUUAAGUCCCGCAACGAGCGCAACCCUUGCCUUUAGUUGCCAGCAUUAAGUUGGGCACUCUAGAGGGACUGCCGUGGUUAACACGGAGGAAGGUGGGGAUGACGUCAAGUCCUCAUGGCCUUUAUAUCUAGGGCGACACACGUGAUACAAUGGAUGGUACAAAGGGAAGCGAGCCCGCGAGGGGAAGCCAAUCUCAAAAAGCCAUUCUCAGUUCGGAUUGGAGUCUGCAACUCGACUCCAUGAAGUUGGAAUCGCUAGUAAUCGCGGAUCAGAACGCCGCGGUGAAUACGUUCCCGGGCCUUGUACACACCGCCCGU
Molecule: ribosomal RNA, 499 nt
Filed under: uncultured bacterium
Lineage: Bacteria
Description: partial 16S ribosomal RNA
Rfam family: Bacterial small subunit ribosomal RNA
Source: RNAcentral